GUGGGGAAUCUUGCGCAAUGGGCGAAAGCCUGACGCAGCCAUGCCGCGUGAAUGAUGAAGGUCUUAGGAUUGUAAAAUUCUUUCACCGGGGACGAUAAUGACGGUACCCGGAGAAGAAGCUCCGGCUAACUUCGUGCCAGCAGCCGCGGUAAUACGAAGUGGGCUAGCGUUGCUCGGAAUUACUGGGCGUAAAGGGCGCGUAGGCGGACAGCUUAGUCAGAGGUGAAAGCCCAGGGCUCAACCUUGGAAUUGCCUUUGAUACUGGCUGUCUUGAGUUUGGGAGAGGUGAGUGGAACUCCGAGUGUAGAGGUGAAAUUCGUAGAUAUUCGGAAGAACACCAGUGGCGAAGGCGACUCACUGGCCCAAUACUGACGCUGAGGCGCGAAAGCGUGGGGAGCAAACAGGAUUAGAAACCCUAGUAGUCC
Molecule: ribosomal RNA, 425 nt
Filed under: uncultured bacterium
Lineage: Bacteria
Description: partial 16S ribosomal RNA
Rfam family: Bacterial small subunit ribosomal RNA
Source: RNAcentral